GACGAACGCUGGCGGCGUGCCUAAUACAUGCAAGUAGAACGCUGAAGAGAGGAGCUUGCUCUUCUUGGAUGAGUUGCGAACGGGUGAGUAACGCGUAGGUAACCUGCCUUGUAGCGGGGGAUAACUAUUGGAAACGAUAGCUAAUACCGCAUAACAAUGGAUGACACAUGUCAUUUAUUUGAAAGGGGCAAUUGCUCCACUACAAGAUGGACCUGCGUUGUAUUAGCUAGUAGGUGAGGUAACGGCUCACCUAGGCGACGAUACAUAGCCGACCUGAGAGGGUGGUCGGCCACACCGGGACUGGGACACGGCCCAGACUCCUACGGGAGGCAGCAGUAGGGAAUCUUCGGCAAUGGGGGCAACCCUGACCGAGCAACGCCGCGUGAGUGAAGAAGGUUUUCGGAUCGUAAAGCUCUGUUGUAAGUCAAGAACGAGUGUGAGAGUGGAAAGUUCACACUGUGACGGUAGCUUACCAGAAAGGGACGGCUAACUACGUG
Molecule: ribosomal RNA, 497 nt
Filed under: uncultured bacterium
Lineage: Bacteria
Description: partial 16S ribosomal RNA
Rfam family: Bacterial small subunit ribosomal RNA
Source: RNAcentral